GUGCACCAGGCGCGAAACCUCCGCAAUGCGGGAAACCGCGACGGGGGACCCCGAGUGCCGUGGCAACGCCACGGCUUUUCCGGAGUGUAAAAGCUCCGGGAAUAAGGGCUGGGCAAGGCCGGUGGCAGCCGCCGCGGUAAUACCGGCGGCCCGAGUGGUGGCCGCUAUUAUUGGGGCCUAAAGCGUCCGUAGCCGGGCCCGUAAGUCCCUGGCGAAAUCCCACGGCUCAACCGUGGGGCUUGCUGGGGAUACUGCGGGUCCUGGGACCGGGAGAGGCGGGGGGUACCCCUGGGGUAGGGGUGAAAUCCUAUAAUCCCCAGGGGGGACCGCCAGUGGCGAAGGCGCCCCGCUGGAAC
RNAcentral lists this ribosomal RNA (356 nucleotides) under uncultured microorganism. RNAcentral's name for it is "bacterial SSU rRNA". It matches the Rfam family "Archaeal small subunit ribosomal RNA", at positions 330 to 686 of the family's 1478-position model. The record is from RNAcentral.